Molecule: ribosomal RNA, 497 nt
Filed under: uncultured bacterium
Lineage: Bacteria
Description: partial 16S ribosomal RNA
Rfam family: Bacterial small subunit ribosomal RNA
Source: RNAcentral
GAUGAACGCUGGCGGCGUGCCUAAUACAUGCAAGUCGAGCGAACAGACGAGGAGCUUGCUCCUCUGACGUUAGCGGCGGACGGGUGAGUAACACGUGGAUAACCUACCUAUAAGACUGGGAUAACUUCGGGAAACCGGAGCUAAUACCGGAUAAUAUAUUGAACCGCAUGGUUCAAUAGUGAAAGACGGUUUUGCUGUCACUUAUAGAUGGAUCCGCGCCGCAUUAGCUAGUUGGUAAGGUAACGGCUUACCAAGGCAACGAUGCGUAGCCGACCUGAGAGGGUGAUCGGCCACACUGGAACUGAGACACGGUCCAGACUCCUACGGGAGGCAGCAGUAGGGAAUCUUCCGCAAUGGGCGAAAGCCUGACGGAGCAACGCCGCGUGAGUGAUGAAGGUCUUCGGAUCGUAAAACUCUGUUAUUAGGAAAGAACAAAUGUGUAAGUAACUAUGCACGUCUUGACGGUACCUAAUCAGAAAGCCACGGCUAACUUCGUG